UCUAGCUUCAAAUCCUAUACACAUACAUUGAUUUUAUAGUGUGUAUUUAAUGUAUAUUGUUUGUAUAUCAUGUAUAUCUUGUAAUUGGGCUAGAACAUAUUUGAGCGCACUUUUUCUUUUGGCUUUAGGUCUGGCCCGAGUUGGCCCAAAUGUAUUAUAUACACACUGACCCCUUUGUAUUAGGGUCAGUCGGACUUUUGGUUAAUUGAAGAGUUUUUCUCUCUCUGAAGCUCUCUC
RNAcentral lists this long non-coding RNA (237 nucleotides) under Nicotiana benthamiana. Its description in RNAcentral is "long non-coding RNA (NBEN_LNC003940)". The record is from RNAcentral. Lineage: Eukaryota; Viridiplantae; Streptophyta; Magnoliopsida; Solanales; Solanaceae.